Anopheles gambiae (African malaria mosquito) is the source of this 863-nucleotide long non-coding RNA. RefSeq lists it as uncharacterized. The record is from RefSeq and is a predicted model, not a curated record. The transcript has 3 exons. NCBI's taxonomy places the organism in Eukaryota, Metazoa, Arthropoda, Insecta, Diptera, Culicidae.
UCAGGUUGUAGUAUAAGUCAUGUAUGGUUAGAUUCCUGUAGAACCAGGCUUCUGCAGUAACAUUCCUGCUCGCAUCCACAUCCGGCAGCUGCCACACUCGAAGCGUUCAUCGUAACUUGCAAUGAUAAUAUAAGUAUAUUCCACAUUUCGUUUAAAUGAAAGUUAUGGGGUUAUUUAUUGAUAUAAAAUGUGUUUUAGUUGAUCUUACAGGUAACAACAGCAAAGAUUUAAAGCGAAGAAGGUUUAUUAGUUGUACACCGAUCUAAAUUUUACGCAUUUUGAUCCUUUAUUUAUAUACUUACAGGUUAUCAGCAAACACAAACAGUUUCUUCGUAAAAGUUUUCUACAGUUCUGAAUUUUAUUUUAACAUGCACAAAAGCGACGCGGCUAUUUUUGAAUAAAAAGUAAACAAAAGAGUUUCGUUUUAAUUUAAUUUUGACAGCGGGUGUGGUGAUGACUCGAGCAGGUUGGAACAGAAUAUUCUUUGGAUGGGAUUCACUGCGAUCCGUGACGUCACUGAGCGCCGGUUCAUUUAAAGCUUCUUCUCUGAGUUCUGCUUAUACCAACAAGCAGAGUUUAAGCAGAGAAGAAGCUGUGGCGGUUUCCAUACAAUCUCUCUCUGAGAUUGUUGAGAGGGUAUACAUCGACCGAAAUUAUUCCAUUGCCAUCUACCUCAAAUGGUGAAAACAAUGUAUAUAGUAGCAGUACUGGUGAUGGUUUCAACUUGCCUAACAUCUAUCCAACUAACAACGAUUUACUUGAAGGUGACGGUGAGUUAGAUAGUACUAACCCUUUUCCAGCUAUAUUUUCAGAUUCAGAUAGUGAUCACGGGGAUACCGAUCGCGGCAGUGAUGAUGAAGAUA